CGAGGACUCGGUUCGGGUGAGGACUCGGUUCGGAUGGCCGGGCGCGGGAUCAGUCCAGCUGAUCAGCAGCUGAUCGAAGAGCUGUAACCGGAUCCUCCGCCAUUACUGCCGGGGAUGCUGCGAAACACACCCACCUUAGAGACACCUGCCGCACAAAAGAGGAACAGCAGCGGCAGUUCCCGCGCUUUUCCUCCAGGCGGCGCCAAAUGGCAAACGCAUCGCCAUGGAAACAGAAAGAGCGGGAAUGUUCAGAGCUCGCCCCCAAUGAUUGAAUGGCUGCUGUGUGUGUGUGUGUGUGUGUGUGUGUGUGUGUGUGUGUGUGUGUGUGUGUGUGUGUGUGUGUGUGUGUGUGUGUGUGUGUGUGUGUGUGUGUGUGUGUGUGUGUGAGUGAGUGAGGAAAACACUUUAUUUUUGAGGCACAUUUGGAAAAAGUUUAGCAUUUUGUGUCAGAGGCUUCAGACUUUGAGAGGUCGUGGACGCUUACUAACGAAGUUUUCAGAAAACUGAAAUAUGAGGAGGAUUUGAAACACAUCAGAACAUCUGAGCUGGUUAAAUCGGGUAAUUACCCAUAAAAGCAGAACAAUCCCCAGUGCUGAGGUGAGGGGUUAAUCGGGUUAGUUAGAGACGAGUGAGUUUGGCCAGCUUUGGGCCGGAGGCGUUUUAAUAGUUUGUAAAAAGAAAAUCAUUUAGUUUAGACAAUUUUUAGAUUUAAGAUUUAUGUACCUGAACUGCAGUGUGUGUGUGCGCGUGCGUGUGUGUGUGCGCGUGCGUGUGUGUGUGCGCGUGUGUGUGUGCGUGUAUGUGUGCGUGUAUGUGUGUGUGAAUGUGUGUGUGUGUGUGUGUGUGUGUGUGUGUGUGUGUGUCCUAUUUCAGGCCUACACGGUUGUAAUAUAAACUAAUAAAUACUAAAGGAUGCAUAUUUGUCGUAUUCGGGUAAGAUUUCAAAAAUAAAUAAUAUUGAAUCAACAAUAGGCUAAAUGUGUUUUAAAUGCACAAUAAGAAAAUUUUAAGACUUGAGGUUGCCAUCUUAAAAUUUUGAACUGGAUGAAUUGGUUUUCACAAGCGGAUUUUUGCUGAUUUGUUUUGAAAAUAAGAUUAUUUAAGUAAAAUCGCACGCUUUUCGAUUGCAAAUGGCUUAAAUACACUUAGAAAUAGUUUUCCAAAGCUACAGAAAGUAGUUCAUUUCACAUAAAAAUAAGUCAAAAUAGUUUUUUUCCCCUAGUUAGAACCGAGUAAUGCGCGGACAAUUUAGAUGCGAUUCAAAAACAUAAGCUUUAAAUUUAGCCUUAAUAUUUGUGUUUGCGAUUUUUCAGAAGUGUAGUGUAUUAUAAAGUUUAGUAUUUCUGGGUUGGUGGUAUUUCUGAUGCAGAUGAAGCAGGAAUUCAGUAAUAACAGAGCGUCCAUUUUAAAAGAUGACAGAGUAAGCUUUACUUUCUAUUGGACGCCGUAUAAUUAGAGAGUUUUUCUUUAACUGUGGUUGUGUGGUGAAAAUCAUCAUCAUCCUCCAGAUGAUUCUUCAGGAGACCGAGAGGGAUCAUCGACCCGCUUAUAAACAUGUGCUGAACUCAUCGAGAGUUAUCUGAGAAAUACUGAACCACUGAGAGAGGCCUGUCAGCAUAAACUGAUCACAGAAACGUUAUGAGAACAGCAUUCCUCGUCCUGUGAUCUGAGAUCAUCUGUUAAACACACUGCGCUCUGAGGUCAGUACACUUCACACAGCCUGCACCGCUGUGACCUUUAACCUCUUUAGAGGUCAGUGUCAGGAGAGAGCAGUGACCCGAGGGUUUCUGAACACACACACUCUCACACACACUCACACACUCACACACACACACACACACACACACACACACACA
Long non-coding RNA from Puntigrus tetrazona (Sumatra barb), 1856 nucleotides. RefSeq lists it as uncharacterized. The record is from RefSeq and is a predicted model, not a curated record. The transcript is spliced from 3 exons. NCBI's taxonomy places the organism in Eukaryota, Metazoa, Chordata, Actinopteri, Cypriniformes, Cyprinidae.